Molecule: long non-coding RNA, 662 nt
Organism: Phasianus colchicus (ring-necked pheasant)
Lineage: Eukaryota; Metazoa; Chordata; Aves; Galliformes; Phasianidae
Source: RefSeq, a predicted model, not a curated record
GCAAGGACACCUCCCUCUAGACCAGGUUGCUCAAAGCCCCAUGCAGUCUGGUCUUGAAUGCUUCCAGGAAGGGGGAAGCACUUCCUUUAUUAUCAUAAUACUUUUUUAUUCUACCAUAAAGACUUUGGGCUAAAGCAGAAGUCACAAAUACUGACAACUGAGUUUUGGACGAAUUAUAAGCAGCAGUCAGAUUUCACCUGAUGGCCUAGAGCUGUGAAAGAUCUAUAUAGAGGAAGUCUUAGUCUGGACUAAAUUACAGUGUACAUGGCAGAAUUGUAACUGGGAUUUAGUGCUUUGAAAGUGAUGACUCAAAUGACAAAUUGAUAAUCCACCCUAAGAGAGGAAAAGAACAUGGGAUGUAACAGAGCAACAUGAUGACAUCCAGCUUCCACCUAGUGCCUGAGUAAUGCCUGUACCUCUUCACAGUCAACAAAAAGAUGUGGUUUACUGUCACCCCUGGCUUGAACCAAAGAAUAUAAGUAUGCAAUGGAAAGUGUGAUGGAGAGCGUGAAGAGAAAUGGAAAAGUUUAUCAGCAUGCUGAAGAGUUAAUGCAGCACAAAAAAAAAAAAAAAAAAAAGCUUCAAAGCACAGAAAUUAGUGCUGAGAAAACAAACUGAUACAAAAGUAAAGAGCAAGCUCUCGUGUGCUGCAUAUUGAUCAU